UCUCAGUUCGGAUCGGAGUCUGNAACCCGACUCCGUGAAGCUGGAUUCGCUAGUAAUCGCGCAUCAGCCAUGGCGCGGUGAAUACGUUCCCGGGCCUUGUACACACCGCCCGUCAAGCCAUGGGAGCCGGGGGUGCUUGAAGUGCGUCGCCGCAAGGCGCGCCCUAGAGCAAAACCGGUGACUGGGCUAAGUCGUAACAAGGUACC
RNAcentral lists this ribosomal RNA (206 nucleotides) under uncultured bacterium. Its description in RNAcentral is "partial 16S ribosomal RNA". It matches the Rfam family "Bacterial small subunit ribosomal RNA", at positions 1286 to 1500 of the family's 1533-position model. The record is from RNAcentral.